This 253-nucleotide ribosomal RNA is filed under the name uncultured bacterium. Its description in RNAcentral is "partial 16S ribosomal RNA". It matches the Rfam family "Bacterial small subunit ribosomal RNA", at positions 524 to 776 of the family's 1533-position model. The record is from RNAcentral.
UACGGGGUGGGCAAGCGUUGUUCGGAAUUACUGGGCGUAAAGGGCUCGUAGGUGGCCAACUAAGUCAGACGUGAAAUCCCCAGGCUCAACUUGGGAACUGCGUCUGAUACUGGAUGGCUUGAAUUCGGGAGAGGGAUGCAGAAUUCCAGGUGUAGCGGUGAAAUGCGUAGAUAUCUGGAGGAAUACCGGUGGCGAAGGCAGCUCGCUGGGACGGUACUGACGCUGAGACGCGAAAGCGUGGGGAGCAAACAGG